Molecule: non-coding RNA, 212 nt
Organism: Myotis brandtii (Brandt's bat)
Lineage: Eukaryota; Metazoa; Chordata; Mammalia; Chiroptera; Vespertilionidae
Source: Rfam
AAGACUAUACUUUCAGGGAUCAUUUCUAUAGUUCUUUACUAGAGAAGUUUCUCUGAACAUGUAGAGCACCCGAAACCACGAGGAGGAGAUGCAGCAUCCUCUCCUGAGCGUGAAGCUGGCUCUUGGUGUUGCUUCAGUAACUGCCACUUGCCAUUGAUGAUCGUUCUUCUCUCUCUUGGGAAAGAAGAGGGAGAGGAUGCAUUCUGAAUGGU